UGCCCUCUUUGUUGUCUGGUGUUCUUUAUGUUCCCUACAGGAGCUGCCGAUACAAAGGCCUGACCCAGAAGAAAUUCUGCGUCACCUGUACCAUCAAGAUCAAGAUCAAGAUCAAAAUGGCGCGCGAAUUGCAGCUGUCCUGGACGUUGACAAUUUCUUGGUAACUUCGUGGAUUCAAUAAUGUCUGAGGAAGAAUAUGAAAAGGAAUGCAGGAAAUGAUUUACCCAAGAGAACAUUGUGCAGGAAAGAGUUAUCAUUUACCAAAUGACAAAGAACCAUGUACGAGGCCUUACUCGCAUGGAGAAGCAGAAAGUUAGGAGGCAGUCAUCUCUUCUCCAAUGGGAUCCAGAAAAGAAGAUUUUGUAUUAUACUGGCCACAGAGAUAGCAAGAAAAGAGAGGUGGUCAGGAAUCUGAGCAGCUUGAGAAGGUGCUGAAUAUCUUUCACACCAGCCCAACAGGAGAGCACAGUGGCUGGAACUCCACUUACACGAAAAUUUCAAAGGAGUAUAUCUGGAGAAAGAUGCAGUUUGACACCAAGCACUAUGUUGCCAUGUGUCCCAAGUGCCAAAAGCACAACCCAGUGAAGACACAGCCCACUGCAGUGAGACGCAGCAAGGUUAAGGAGCCGUGGGAGCUGGUUCAAGUAGACUCGACUGCUUUGAACCAUCACUUCCCAAGAUCCCAAAGUGUACUUCAAGUUGGUCUAAGGAUGAACUUCUUUUGCUGUUGGAGUUGAUGAGAGAAUGCAAGAAAACCAUCAAAAGAGUAUUAGGGCCGAACUUGGCAACAGAGGACAAGAGAGCGCGUGCUGAGAUGGCUGACGUUCUCGAUGCUACCUUCCUACUUGUUUGGCGGUCACAGGAACAAGUGGAAAAACAAUGCCAGAACUUGCUUUCAAAAGAGUGAUGAAUCCUGAUAUAUGAAAUCCAUUGCUGAUAUCAAGAUGUAUGUAGACAUUGACUGCCCCAGUGAUGAAGCUGUCACUUUCUUGCAAGACUACCCAGUAGAGAGUGGGCUAAAUGCAAUCUUUGAGGCUGGAGAUGUUCCUGCUGGAUGCCAUCUUGUAGGAGACAGUGGUUACCCAAGUGAAGAGGCAGCUGCUAAAGCAUACCUAUGCCCUCAGUCAGGACCACAAACUAACUACAAUAGCUUGACGGCCUCCACCAGCUUGUCCCUACCAUCACAGAUCCACUUUUCCACAUCCCUCAGCAGUAGAAUGUGGAGGGCAAAGGUGAGGUCCAGCCCUAUGUCAGCCAACUGCAAUAGUACCAUGGUGUUAUCAAGAGUGUGUGAGGACAUGAGAUGGAAAUAAAGUGGGUGUUUAGUAUUACUACUGAGAAAACUCUGAUCUGGUAUAAGCUGAAUAAUGAAAAUCCAAGUGUGUG
This is a long non-coding RNA of Portunus trituberculatus (swimming crab), 1386 nucleotides long. RefSeq lists it as uncharacterized. The transcript is spliced from 8 exons. The record is from RefSeq and is a predicted model, not a curated record. NCBI's taxonomy places the organism in Eukaryota, Metazoa, Arthropoda, Malacostraca, Decapoda, Portunidae.